Tachysurus vachellii is the source of this 300-nucleotide long non-coding RNA. RefSeq lists it as uncharacterized. The record is from RefSeq and is a predicted model, not a curated record. The transcript is spliced from 3 exons. Lineage: Eukaryota; Metazoa; Chordata; Actinopteri; Siluriformes; Bagridae.
UUAAAGCAAAUGUUAGAAAACGAAUGAAGGAAGAACCAGAGUAUGAUCUUUUAAACUACAACUGCAUUCAUUUUGCCAUGGAGAUUCUUGGGGUGAAGAGGUGGUGAUCUUAAACAAUCUUGUUUUAAGUCAGUAAUCCUGAUUAACUGACUGGAUGCUGUUGCUGUUGGACGGACAGACGGGUCACACCUCUGACAACGAUGGAGUAGAUUUCAUUCUGUUUCACAUGUUGAUGGGUUUCAUCAACAUUAUUUCUGCUGUAUUUGCUCUACAAAAACAAUAAAUUUCAUUUGACUAUUA